CAGUAGCCGCGGUAAUACGAAGGGUGCAAGCGUUAAUCGGAAUUACUGGGCGUAAAGCGUGCGUAGGCGGUUUGUUAAGUCUGCUGUGAAAUCCCCGGGCUCAACCUGGGAAUGGCAGUGGAUACUGGCAAGCUAGAGUGUGUCAGAGGAUGGUGGAAUUCCCGGUGUAGCGGUGAAAUGCGUAGAGAUCGGGAGGAACAUCAGUGGCGAAGGCGGCCAUCUGGGACAACACUGACGCUGAGGCACGAAAGCGUGGGGAGCAAACAGGAUUAGAUACCCCCGUAGUCCCUGUCUCUUAUAA
Molecule: ribosomal RNA, 301 nt
Filed under: uncultured bacterium
Lineage: Bacteria
Description: partial 16S ribosomal RNA
Rfam family: Bacterial small subunit ribosomal RNA
Source: RNAcentral